This is a long non-coding RNA of Carassius auratus (goldfish), 836 nucleotides long. RefSeq lists it as uncharacterized. The transcript has 3 exons. The record is from RefSeq and is a predicted model, not a curated record. NCBI's taxonomy places the organism in Eukaryota, Metazoa, Chordata, Actinopteri, Cypriniformes, Cyprinidae.
GAUGCCUUUUGGUUUGUUUGUAUCUAAUACAAUGAAAUUCAUAAUUUUUAAGUGUCCAGAUGAAAUUGUAUAGUUCAGGGCUGAAAGGCUAUAAACUCUGCAGAAAGUGAGUUGACAGUGUUUGUCUGUGCAGUGUGUGUUUGCCAGGGUUUAAAUGCAGGCAGUGUGACUUCUCAAGCCCUUUCAUGUGAUGCCUCCUGCUUUAACAAAUCCAUCUGAUAUAGCAUAAUGGGCUUUAACUAACACAUGAACACACAUUUAAACACGAUUAACUGAAAAGUCUUUAAGAAGUAAGAAACACUAUUCACAAUAAUGAUGCACAGACGUCAGACAUCAAAGGUUGCAAACUUUUGUGAAUCAGUAGCCUUAUAAAUCAUAACAGUUAGCAAAAGAGAGAGGAGUAAUCCUUCCAUCUGAUCCAAUAUAGUGUAACGAGAUAUAUACAGUUUGAAUGUAACACAUUUUUCCCACUAAAAUCAUUUUUAUUGUAUUAUGGGUUUAUUUGUUAUUGCAUUCUUUGAGCAAUAUUUGUCUGCUGAUGCUGCUGUUCACUGUUUGGCGCUCUACUGACUCCAUUUUCACGUGAGUGCGCGCUUCUCUUCACACCGCUUCAUGACAGCGACGGAACUGCUCCUUCUCCUUCUCAGCCUUCGAUCUGUCACAAAAUACAGGCCAUAUAAAAGAACCGAUGAUCAGGUUCAAAUAAACCGUUUCAGGGCUUCGAUACAUUUCAAAGUGUUCAAGCACAAAAAGCACAUGGAUACAUUUGUGGGAGAUAAACUCGUCGAGUGUAGUCUUAUCGAGACGUUUAACGGUUGGAACAAACCUGGAAUUCC